RNAcentral lists this ribosomal RNA (459 nucleotides) under uncultured bacterium. Its description in RNAcentral is "partial 16S ribosomal RNA". It matches the Rfam family "Bacterial small subunit ribosomal RNA", at positions 338 to 795 of the family's 1533-position model. The record is from RNAcentral.
CCUACGGGAGGCAGCAGUGAGGAAUAUUGGUCAAUGGCCGAGAGGCUGAACCAGCCAAGUCGCGUGAGGGAAGAAUGUCCUAUGGAUUGUAAACCUCUUUUGUCAGGGAGCAAAUUCACCCACGUGUGGAUGUUGGAGAGUACCUGAAGAACAAGCAUCGGCUAACUCCGUGCCAGCAGCCGCGGUAAUCCGGAGGAUGCGAGCGUUAUCCGGAUUUAUUGGGUUUAAAGGGUGCGUAAUCGGAUCGUAAAGUUAGGGGGAAAAUUGAGGGGCCAAACCGCUUACCGCAAUUGAAACUGGCGCUCUUGAGUGGAAGAGAAGUAUGCGGAAUGCGUGGUGUAGCGGUGAAAUGCAUAGAUAUCACGCAGAACCCCGAUUGCGAAGGCAGCAGGCCGGCUUCCGACUGACGCUGAAGCACGAAAGCGUGGGGAUCGAACAGGAUUAGAUACCCCAGUAGUC